GGGUGCAUGGCCUAAUGGUAAGGCGUCAGAUUUCGGUUAACCUACGACCUCCUCUGAAGAUUGCAGGUUCGAUCCCUGCUGUGCUCG
Molecule: non-coding RNA, 87 nt
Organism: Jackrogersella minutella
Lineage: Eukaryota; Fungi; Ascomycota; Sordariomycetes; Xylariales; Hypoxylaceae
Source: the annotation of a GenBank genome assembly